CAGUCGAACGGUAACAGCACUUCGGUGGCUGACGAGUGGCGAACGGGUGAGUAAUACAUCGGAACGUGCCUAGUAGUGGGGGAUAACUACUCGAAAGAGUAGCUAAUACCGCAUGAGAUCUAAGGAUGAAAGCAGGGGACCUUCGGGCCUUGUGCUACUAGAGCGGCUGAUGGCAGAUUAGGUAGUUGGUGGGAUAAAAGCUUACCAAGCCGACGAUCUGUAGCUGGUCUGAGAGGACGACCAGCCACACUGGGACUGAGACACGGCCCAGACUCCUACGGGAGGCAGCAGUGGGGAAUUUUGGACAAUGGGCGCAAGCCUGAUCCAGCAAUGCCGCGUGCAGGAUGAAGGCCUUCGGGUUGUAAACUGCUUUUGUACGGAACGAAAAGACUCUCUCUAAUACAGGGGGUUGAUGACGGUACCGUAAGAAUAAGCACCGGC
RNAcentral lists this ribosomal RNA (441 nucleotides) under Betaproteobacteria bacterium. RNAcentral's name for it is "bacterial SSU rRNA". It matches the Rfam family "Bacterial small subunit ribosomal RNA", at positions 59 to 497 of the family's 1533-position model. The record is from RNAcentral. Lineage: Bacteria; Pseudomonadati; Pseudomonadota; Betaproteobacteria.